This 292-nucleotide ribosomal RNA is filed under the name Desulfovibrio sp. OH1186_COT-070. RNAcentral's name for it is "partial 23S ribosomal RNA". It matches the Rfam family "Bacterial large subunit ribosomal RNA", at positions 2634 to 2925 of the family's 2925-position model. Lineage: Bacteria; Pseudomonadati; Thermodesulfobacteriota; Desulfovibrionia; Desulfovibrionales; Desulfovibrionaceae. RNAcentral also lists the same sequence under 1 other name. The record is from RNAcentral.
GUCCCUAUCCGUCGUGGGCGUAGGAAAUUUGAGAGGAGCUGUCCUUAGUACGAGAGGACCGGGAUGGACAUACCUCUGGUGUACCAGUUGUCGUGCCAACGGCAUAGCUGGGUAGCUAUGUAUGGACGGGAUAAGUGCUGAAAGCAUCUAAGCAUGAAGCCCCCCUCAAGAUGAGAUUUCCCAACUUCGGUUAUAAGAUCCCUCAAAGAUGAUGAGGUUAAUAGGUUCGAGGUGGAAGCGUGGUGACACGUGGAGCUGACGAAUACUAAUCGAUCGAAGACUUAAUCAAUUU